Molecule: ribosomal RNA, 267 nt
Filed under: Armillaria ostoyae
Lineage: Eukaryota; Fungi; Basidiomycota; Agaricomycetes; Agaricales; Physalacriaceae
Description: partial 26S ribosomal RNA
Rfam family: Eukaryotic large subunit ribosomal RNA
Source: RNAcentral
UUAGUCAGAAUCCGUGCUAGAAACGAUGAUGUUGGUGUCGCACAUUAGACUUGUGUUUAAAUAGAGCUUUGCUCGUGAACCAAAUAUGGUGGGCUGGGUUGUCUUUGCGGAAACGCUUAGGCGACUUGUCUACGAAUUGUAAUCAUAAUAUGGGCGGCGGUGAAUCCUUUGCAGACGACUUGAAUGGGAACGGGGUACUGUAAGUGGUAGAGUAGCCUUGUUGCUACGAUCCACUGAGGUUAAGCCCUUGUUCUAAAGAUUUGUUCA